Non-coding RNA from Peromyscus maniculatus bairdii (prairie deer mouse), 5642 nucleotides. The record is from RefSeq and is a predicted model, not a curated record. Lineage: Eukaryota; Metazoa; Chordata; Mammalia; Rodentia; Cricetidae.
ACACACACACACACACACACACAGUGUGCUGCACCCCCCCCAUAAAUAAAUGUUUUAAAAUACCUUAAACAUAUGCAAGCUAAAUUGUAGUCAGAAGCAUACAAUAAAAUUCUGUUAAUGUCACUAAUAUUGAGAGGUAACUUGUAUUUCACAUGCAGGAGAUAUGUCGUGUCUUUCUAGAUGAAUGGUAAAUUAGGAUUCUUAAACAAAAUGCUGAAAUUUCUCAAGAAAUUGCAAGAUUUAGGAGGAAACGUAGUAUAUGCAACAAAAUUAUAUGCAACAUAAAGAUACCUGUCAAGUGCGAGAAAAUUAAAUGUAAGACUGACUCAGCCUCUUCACUGAGUUAAAUAUAAAGUUAAUUGCAAAGAUGCCAGCAAAGCUUUCCAUCAAAAACCAGAGGGGAAAAUCCAGGUGCCUUGCCCCCAUUAGGAACAGACAAGUCUGAUACCGCGUGAUAAUUCCUACCCUGUGGCAUAAUGCUGAUGUCUUCAAAGAACCGCUUGACUCCAUGACUGAGAUUCAAAGGCUAGAUUACAGUGAUCUCAGUGUUUAUUUUGGGUGAAGACAGGGCAACAUUCUCUGCUGCCCCAGUGUUGAUCCUAACUGGUUGAUAAAUAAAAACAUCUUGGAACACUUCUAAUGCAAAUCAUCUUGAGACGGGAGCUGACUGCUCAUUGUUUCAGUAGAGAUAGGAUAGAGACUUAGUAUAUGCUUGCAGAGAAUUUCUUUAAGUCUCACCUUACACAGCAACUGUGUCAAUAUAAUUUCUCAUCUGAACUUUACAACUAGGCUUUGUGGGUGUCUCUGAAGAAGAUUAGGUUUAGAAAUUAUAGUAUCAGAAAACAAGCUCAUUAUUAAAAUUUUGACCAGGGUAUCCAAUACUGUUGGGUUGACUUGAUCUCUGGAAAAUUCUUUUUGCCCAACAGCUUGCUGACGACUCUUUUUUUAUGGAACACCACCCGAAAGGCAUUCUUUAAGAGGCAGAGUUCAGGGAGAAUGUCACACAUAUUGGAGCUGAAUCUGUGUCUGCUGCUCACUGUGCGCCUGCUUAGGAGAAGCAUUUGGUGUGGGGCUGGGAACUAGGAAGUCCUCUGCCUUUGUGAACUCAGGAAAUGCUGUCCUUACAUCCCGGCCUCCAGACAUGUGGAGUCCAUAUGAAUCUUCUGGCCAGAUGAGCUUGUGGGGAUUUUCUAAGACGCUUCCUCGGUGAUCUUUGUUGUGACUAGUCAUCCCUCACUCUCCCAAGAUGCCCACAAGAAACAGAGCGGUUGCGGAAGCACUGGCCCACUGGAGAAGUGUGCCUUAGUCAACACGACCUGGUUGCGGGUCAGAAGUCCCAUUUUGUAGUAUUACCAAAUGAAGUUUCUGCUAUGAUUUUUCAUUUUCACAGGUGAACUGUUGGUAUCUCAUUUGUGAUUAGUGCAAUAAAAACCACUCUGGGACCAGCAGUGUGGCUUCAAGGCAUUUGCCGUGAAGCCUGAUGAUCUGCGUUCAGUCCCCCAAACCUACAUGAUGGAAUUUGACAACUGACUCCUAAAGUUUAUCCUCUGACCUCCAUACCACUGUGAAGGGUCACAGCAUUAGGAAGAUCGAGAACCACUGACUAAGAUACAGUCCUCUGGAUGUUGAACUUUUACGAUUUUAGGAGAGACAACAGUUCAAGCUCCCUGUUUUUCUCUGCUUCCCAUCGACUGCUAUGUCCACCACUCCCUUCUCUGUAAUUUCCCUCAGUCUACCUCCAAAUUUGGAAUCACAACAGUUUCCAUGUGGACAAAACCCCGAACGGGAAUCUUUCCUGCCUCGUGCUAACGGUGCCACGGCAGUCAACCACUGACACCAUCUGCCAGGCUCUUCAUCCAAGUUUCCAAACCCAGAGAGGAGUAAGAAGAAUGUUCCAUGUGGGAGUCGAUUCCCGGAAUAUGAGUGCUGGGCCAACGUGAAAUGUCGCCCGCAGCGUGCCGAGCAAGGGAGACAGACACCAAGUCUAAAGAGGACAUCCUCGGGCUGGUGCGGCGUACCUGUAACCCAGGCACUCAGAAGGCUCGGGCGCAAGUUACGAUGCUGAACCCCAGGCCAGGCGAGGCUACAGAGUCAAUUCCAGGUCAGGCUGAACUACAUAAUGAGACCUUCCCCUCCCAAUAACAAAGCAAAACAAAGGUUCCGGAGCUCAAGUUUGCCGUGCGGAUAUGUCUGUGGGGAUUUGAGACACAUGUGUACGGACAAUAACAAGAAAAGGCAUUGCGUGGUGAAUACCCAGUGGACAGUAUAGACGUUUUGAUGCAAUAAGAGUUACAAAGAGGAAGACCACACUGCACUCUGGGUGUGGAAGGGCAAGAAUUCAAAUCAGAGGGGGCCACGGGGAAGACAGGGCAGUUGAUGGCAUAGCUGAGCGACAGGAAGUGAACCAGGGCGGCGAGAUGAGGGAGGCCAUACAGGAGAGUGGCGUGCCGCACAUCGGAAUUGGCAGCUUGAGGCCAAAUUCAGAGGAAGGCCUGCUAAGAAACACCGUGGGUCACAGUUGGGCUGGUUUUAGUUUGAACCAAAGUCUCCAUGCUUUUCCGUGAUCCUCAUGUCUUUUUCUUUAGAGUGGUCCUUCCCCGCCUUGUAGGACCCCGCCCGGCGAGUCUGUGAAGACAGUCAGUCAUCCUCCCCACGGCUGAGCUCAGCCCAGGGCCCUCUACCCCAGCCGGAGCAAUCAGCCCCCAUCAGAUGCGCACACGGACAUGGAAGAACAAAGGCCCUCCUUCUUGGAACUGCUGGGCGGGAGAGCGUGUGGGUUUGGAGCAGGCAGCCCUGGCACCGACCAUCUCCUGGGGAGAGCCCACACGUAGAGUGAAGCUGAGCUGAGCGAGGCAGAGUGCGAUGUUGGAGGGACAGACAGAGUGCUGGACACACUUUGAGCUGGUGCAUCCUGCACUGGUGACCCUUCCUGGACUUGCCAUCUCUCUGGAAACCAGAAAAUUCUCUUGCUGUUUCAGCUAGCUUGGGAUUGCUUUCUGACACUUUUCAUCUAAAAGAAGCUUCAACAAUACAGGCAAUACAGGAAGCUUAGACUUCACCCCACAGAUCAAAGCUUCCCAAUGUCUUUUCCUUUGAUCACUGGUCCCACAAGUCCUUAAAAAAAAAAAAAAAGAGUUGCAUAGCAAAUGUAGUUUGAGAAUACUGCCUUCCAGAGCCUUUUUUGUAGGUCCAUUAGUGUAGUAACAUAUUAAACACCAGAAGGUUCUCCGUGCUUGGAAGCCUUCCAUUUGCUCUUCCACAUCCACUGUGUCCUGUUCCCACCCUGUCCUGUGUCCUGGGAGACCUGAUGCUCUGAAGCGCCAGACACCUGACCUUUGACCCUAGCUGGAUUUGGAUGAGCCAAGGAAGGAAGCAUCCUGGAGUCUGGUGAAGGGAGGUUGGUUUCCCAGUAUGUUCAUUUGCCUGGCACUGCCCAGCCCAAGCUAUUGUGGCCUGGUUGUGUCUCUCUCCUCUCAGGGCACAGAUGCUGCUGGGCGUCACCUUCCAGGCAGAGUCCCCUUUCACUCUCUGGCUUUGUGAGUGAGUGGGACCAGCCCAGGGCCAUUGCACCCUCCUCCGUGGUUCCCUCGAACCCUGCCUGUCAUCUACUAGCUGUUUUGAGGUUAGUCAUUUGAGUGUGUUAUGUUUCCUCCCAGGGCCUGUUUGAAAUCAUAUUAUCAAUCCCAAUUAAUUCAUUACCUCCUAAACCCAUUAAACCUGUAAUUUGUUUUGAACAGGAAAACACCUAUUGGUGUGUUAUUGAACAGAAAAGUUUUGACCACAGAGGCCUUGAAAGGGCAGUGUCUUUGUCUCAAGAGUCUAGAAGGAUAAAAGUAGUGGGACAAUUUUUUUUUCUUAGCCUGUAACAUUCUCCUACAAGCAUCCAGGGCAUCUACCGGACCGCCAUGUUAGGCCUCAGUUUUCAGUACCUCUGUGUGGGAGGCCCUCUUCCUGCUCUUUUCCUACCCAAAGCACAUUCUUUUAAAAAUGGUCCAGUGUGUACCACCCUUCACCCGUCAACAUUCCCCAAAGCUCUGCAUUCACCCUGACCCGUCCAUUCACACAGCCACUGCCGUUCCCCCUCAUCCCUAUGGAUAAAGCGCAGGCUUUAAACCCUUGCAUGGGUAAGUCAAUUUUCUUAUUCUAUAUGCCUCUCAUAUCUCACAACUUCUGUCAAGCACAUGCUGCUCUACACAGAGGCAAUACCUCCUUUUCCCCCAUUGAUUUGUAAAUUAAGCUGUACCCUUACACAUACACACACACAUACACACACACACAAGCAUGCACACAUGCAGUACACACCCAUGCAUGCACAUGCACAAUGCAGCAUGCACCCAUGCAUGUACAUGCACCCAUGCACUUAUUAUGUUGUCCAGACUUGUCUUCAACUCUUGGGUUCCUCACACUUCAGCCUCCUGGGACUACAGUCUCUCAAUAUAGGACUUAGCUGCCAUUCUUUCAUAUGAAGUUCAAAUCUUGUCAUUGUAGAAGUCAUUUCCUGAUCAUCCCAGAUAAGUCUGAUUUCUCAGGUUUCUGAGGGACCAGCACUAAUAACCCACUGAAGCAACAUUCAUGUAUUCUGAAAUCAUGGUACUAUCUGGGACUACUGUCCAUGUCCUAGGACUAGUCACCCUGCGUACUUCUGUCACAGAGCCUUAACAGACUUACAGGCCUUGUUGAGGACUGAAUUAUAUCCUAGUCCUCAGUCCCCCAGAAUGUGACCUUGUAUGGAAAUGAGAUCAUUGCAGAUGGUAUUAGUUCAGAUGAGUUCAUCCUGGAGUAAGGUAGACUCCUCAUCCAAUAAAACCAAAAUCUUAAAAAGUAGACCUUGGCUCACAAAUACCGAGAAUACCAUGUGCAGAUGGGAGUCUUGCUGCCACAAACCAAUGAGCACCAAAAACAGUUAGCAAAGCACCUGAAGCUACAUGACAGGUAUGAAGCAGAGGCUCUCUCAUGGCCUCAGAAGGAACCAGCCCUGCCGACACCCUAACCCAGCGUCCCGGAACUGUCAGGCAGUGCAUUGCUGUGGCCCAAGCCACCUAGCUUGCUCUUUGUUCCGGGGCUUCCAUCCAACCAUUACAAACAACACAAGGAGAAGGCCACACCGAGGAGGAGGUUGUCCAGCUAAGACCUACCACCUGAGUCUUAGGCCAUUUCUGGCUAAUUAAUUCCCUUCUCAGAGCCUCGAUGUUCUCUGUAACGUGCAGAUAAAAUCUACCUUGGAAAGUUGCUGUAGGGAUUAAAGAAGAUAACAUUAAGCUAUUAGGCACAGUGCCCGACACAGUUAACAUGUUUAAUAAAUGCUAGGUCUUGUCUUUGUAAUCCUCUUGUGCAAACGAGGUCGGACUAGACAUGUAAAGUGCCUGUCUGAGUGACUACGAUGAAGUGGCAACAGAUUGAAAAUUAAACAAAAGCCAGGGGGCCUGCCUCCCACCCACAGGCCUCAGUUCCUAUACUUCCCACGUCUUACCGGGCAUCGUGAAAGAGAACAGUGAACACAGGGGCAUUGACUGAGCGGCAUCUGAUGUGUGCCACUUAACUUACUUAGCGGCAGCUGGGGAACUGAACUUAAGGAGUAGGGCCUUUGUGGAUCCCCUCCCAUCCACAGGUAGCUGAGAUGAAUUGUAUCUUAAAGCAAACUA